UCCCCCAAGCAAGCAACUGUCAGUGAGUGACCGUUAGUGGGGACACUCAGCCAAGGUCAGUGGAGCAGUGAUCAUCAGGCAGACAGUGAGGUGCACCGAACAGCCUAUGAAUAUCAUCAAUACUAAAGGUUCAUCCCUCUGCUGAGGAAAAAUCCAGUUGAUGAAGAAUGGAUUGUGGAGAGCAUUGCAGCAGUGAUGUGGAAGAGAGCUCAGAGUGCAUUGUGGAGAGCAUUUGCUGCAGUGAUGAAGAAGGGGACGCAGGUAGGAAACAACAUUCAGAUGGAUCUGAUGGGAGAGAAUUCCUGGAACUUUAGAGUUAAACUGCCUGCUUGGAGACUGAGGAAGGUGAACAUGGAAUCAGGAAAAAGGAAAUAUGUGCAGAGCUUUGACUUGUUUCUUUCAUAUUUUAAUGAUAUGAUAGAGAUUGAGUCCUUGGACUUGCACUGUGCUCUGUUUAUAAUCACCUUUUCUUGCUUUGCUCUUCAAAAAUUAUUUUUCCCAUAAAAGCUGCUCUUUCUCGCUUUUGUCACAGACUAGUAUGGAAGCUUGGACUCUGGUCAGCACAUCUGGGGUACUGCGCACUGCAGACUAUGUUUUCUAUUGCAUGUUGAACUAUGAUGGCCAUAUCCUGGUGGGCAUAAAACUCUCACUGCCACUUGA
Molecule: non-coding RNA, 660 nt
Organism: Odocoileus virginianus texanus
Lineage: Eukaryota; Metazoa; Chordata; Mammalia; Artiodactyla; Cervidae
Source: RefSeq, a predicted model, not a curated record